AUGGAACCGGCUAGGGUUCGGCUCGGGGUGGGUAAGGGGAGUGGGGGGGUGGCCGGUUGGGUCCAGUUGGGCUGGCCGGCUGGGCCGUUUGGCCCAAUUUGGCCGGGGGUCAAAAGAAUAAAAGAAAAAACCGCUGCCCGCACGACCUCUCACCCCCUGCUCCUCGACCUCUCGCUCCCUGCUCCUCCUACCGCACCGUUCGCCGCCCCACAACCGCUCGCCGCUUCGCCGCCUUCCGCAGCCGCGUCCCUUCGCCGUCGCCCACCUACUGCCCUUCUCUCCCUGCACUUCUCCACCCUUACGCAGCCGCCGCCAGCGCCUUGUGCCCCAACGCCGCUAUCGCCAUCACCUCCUCCCCAUGGUCCGCGAGCUAGACGCGCUGCCGGGAAGAAUCCACCAUCUACGGCCUUGCGGCGCUCGCCGGGGACACCGCCGCCGCCGUCUCUAUCCUUUCCGGAUGCCUUUGUCUCCUCUCUACAGCGGCCUCCUCAUCUCUUCACGGCUGCUCCAGAGGUCGCCCCCUCGAGCAUCGCGUCCUCUUCCCCACCACCAACUCGCCGCCGCCUCCUCCCUUCGGUUCUCUCCUCGAAGCUCCAUCAAGUGGUCACUGCCGCCUGCUGCCUCUUCUCUCCUGCAGGACGACGCCUCCCCAUCCACCAUCUGCCGCCGCUGAACUGGGUGGCAGUUGCGGCCAUGGGGGACACAAAUGUACACCGCUGUGGCCAGGUUAUUUCAUACGACACAGCCACAGAUGAUGUGCUGUACUGUUUCAGCAUUAUUGUUUCAGCUGUACUGUUUGGACAAAAUUCUGAUUUUUCAACACUUGUUCCAUGUGCGAAUAUUCUGGGAGCACCAACUCCAACUGCUGACAAGAAUGUGUUAGUCAUAGAUAUGGAUAUUGUUGACCAUAAAAAAGAACCUAUCAACAAGAGCCCGAAGAUGUCCAUGAUCGAGGCCGCCCUCACUUCCGCACGAGAUUUAGAUUCGCGGAUAUUGCUUCCUCAUGCAUUCCUCGGCCACUUCAUCUUGUUCGCAGUCGACAAACAUGCACGUCAAGUAUCUAUUUUGGACCCACUAUUUCUGCCCUUAUUCCCAGAGAGAUAUGCGUUAGAAUUUCAGAGGGUUGCAUUCUACCUGAAUGUUGCACUUGAAUUAGCACAACCAGAUUGGAAGUCUGAUACAUUUGCCUAG
This 1191-nucleotide ribosomal RNA is filed under the name Triticum aestivum (bread wheat). RNAcentral describes it as "partial small subunit ribosomal RNA". The record is from RNAcentral. Lineage: Eukaryota; Viridiplantae; Streptophyta; Magnoliopsida; Poales; Poaceae.